RNAcentral lists this non-coding RNA (303 nucleotides) under Triticum aestivum (bread wheat). RNAcentral describes it as "Bacterial small subunit ribosomal RNA". It matches the Rfam family "Bacterial small subunit ribosomal RNA", at positions 100 to 536 of the family's 1533-position model. The record is from Rfam by way of RNAcentral. Lineage: Eukaryota; Viridiplantae; Streptophyta; Magnoliopsida; Poales; Poaceae. RNAcentral also lists the same sequence under 1 other name.
CCGGUGUUCAAGAUGGAUCAAUGAUCACCCAAUAUGGUAUUAUGGAAGUAGCACAAUUGGUAUCGGAUCUUGUGAAUCUCACACCUACACAAGUAAAGCUUUUGGUCAUGGUCGGGACUCCCAUGGGGGGCAGCAGUGGGGAAUCUUGGACAAUGGGCGAAAGCCCGAUCCAGCAAUAUCGCGUAAGUGAAGAAGGGCAAUGCCGCUUGUAAAGCUAUUUCGUCAAGUGCGCGAUCAUGACAAAACUCAAGGAAGAAGCCCCGGCUAACUCCAUGCCAGCAGCCACGAUAAGACGUGGGGGCA